RNAcentral lists this long non-coding RNA (462 nucleotides) under Felis catus (domestic cat). Its description in RNAcentral is "lncRNA (ENSFCAG00000051808.1)". Lineage: Eukaryota; Metazoa; Chordata; Mammalia; Carnivora; Felidae. The record is from RNAcentral.
GCACAUGCUUGGGAGUGUCAAUACUAAGAGUAUCCUGGGGAACAGGGCAAACCAACUCCUUUUCUGUUUCUCCUUUUCAGCAAAGGAGCAGAGGUGCUACCUCGACCCGAAUGUCUGGUCUUUGGAGGUUGUAACAGAAGACAUCAGAGCAUACCGGGAACAGUGGGGCAAUGCCUGAGGAGAGCUGUAGCCUCUGAAGGAGGCCUCUGUGCAUUCCCCUUCCCCAUCACCCAGGGGAGGGCCUUCACCCUCCCCACCUCCUGAGCCCGCCCUCACUCUCAGACCCCGCCCCCACUCGCUUAGGCUCCUGGCUUCUCUCUAGCUUCUUUCUCUCUUCCCCUCAUGCCUCCAUCCCUGUAUCUCACCCUGCUGGCCUCGACCUUCUCGUCACCCUGACAUCGCUGGCAAGUAUGAUGGGAAUGGAAGAGUCUAUUGACAAAAGGGAAAGGAUUUCCUUUUUCC